RNAcentral lists this ribosomal RNA (450 nucleotides) under uncultured bacterium. Its description in RNAcentral is "bacterial SSU rRNA". It matches the Rfam family "Bacterial small subunit ribosomal RNA", at positions 29 to 524 of the family's 1533-position model. The record is from RNAcentral.
AACGAAUGCUGGCGGCAUGCCUAACACAUGCAAGUCGAACGAGACCUUCGGGUCUAGUGGCGCACGGGUGCGUAACGCGUGGGAAUCUGCCCUUGGGUUCGGAAUAACAGCGAGAAAUUGCUGCUAAUACCGGAUGAUGACGUAAGUCCAAAGAUUUAUCGCCCAAGGAUGAGCCCGCGUAGGAUUAGCUAGUUGGUGAGGUAAAGGCUCACCAAGGCGACGAUCCUUAGCUGGUCUGAGAGGAUGAUCAGCCACACUGGGACUGAGACACGGCCCAGACUCCUACGGGAGGCAGCAGUGGGGAAUAUUGGACAAUGGGCGAAAGCCUGAUCCAGCAAUGCCGCGUGAGUGAUGAAGGCCUUAGGGUUGUAAAGCUCUUUUACCCGGGAUGAUAAUGACAGUACCGGGAGAAUAAGCUCCGGCUAACUCCGUGCCAGCAGCCGCGGUAAU